RNAcentral lists this long non-coding RNA (271 nucleotides) under Athene cunicularia (burrowing owl). Its description in RNAcentral is "lncRNA (ENSACUG00000009655.1)". Lineage: Eukaryota; Metazoa; Chordata; Aves; Strigiformes; Strigidae. The record is from RNAcentral.
GGCAUGUCCUGGCUGCUGUGGCUUCUUCAAAUACCAUUUUCCUGAUGGAGAGCUCUGGCUGGGGAUUGCCUCUCCCCCACAGUCAGGAUGGAUCUGCUCUGAUGGAUCUGCUCUUAAGUAAAGCUUUGCAAAAACUGACAAGUGGCACAUCAGAUCUCAUGAAUUUGGACCACUUCCAGGCCUGACAUCCAGAAACUCAUCCCUAUAGGUGGUAAAUAUAAACAGGCUGGUUGCAAAGGAGGAAGCAUGGUAAAGGCAGCAUCUUUCCAGG